This 2627-nucleotide long non-coding RNA is filed under the name Zea mays. Its description in RNAcentral is "long non-coding RNA (ZMAY_LNC005451)". Lineage: Eukaryota; Viridiplantae; Streptophyta; Magnoliopsida; Poales; Poaceae. The record is from RNAcentral.
GUUAAAUAAUUACAUCAUACGAAGACAACGAUCUAGCAACCAAAGUUGACUGGGAGACGAUAGCCUAGACCACUCACAAACUUAUCACAACAUCCUUUAUGCUCCUCAUCCUGUGGUACAUGUUCUUGACCUGGAAGAGAUGUGAGUACAGCAAGGGUGAGCUCACAUACGUUCAUCGCUCAACAAGUUGUGGGGAAUAAUGUGCAUGAACUCACCAAAGGUGGGAGCUCAUGUGAAGUGUAAGGCUUACCAAAGGACAUGGUUAAAGCUGAGCAUUGCUUUUAAACUCGGUCAAAUUUUAUUAGCAGUUACUAAGUAUAAGUUGAUAACAACCCAAUUAAGUAAGAGAUCAAAAUUGAUAAUAACACACGUGAUGCAAUGUAUAUGACAUAUUAAGUUUAGUUCCAUAAAUUAAUCAUACGAGAGUCCUGAGCUGCUCAUGAUCGCGAGCACGACUGAUAUACCAGUUUUACACUCUGCAGAGGUUGCGUCCUUUACCCACAAGUCAUGUAUCCCGUCUAGCCAGGGUUAACUAGACCCUUAGACACUUUCGAGGUGAAUGGCUAGGGAUCCACUACGAGGCCUUUACAAAGUUCCACUAGCUUUAGAAAACCCGCUACAGUUUCUAGGAAGGGCUAUAUAGGAAUCCGUCGUCCGAAAAGCCAUCGCAACAUGAUCAACCCGAGAACCUCCCUAUAUGCAACUCCCCUAUUGCCCUUGUCCCUUUCAGGUAAGGUAGUCCUCCACUAGCUUUCCUAAUUAGUUAGUCAAGGGCGUCCCAUUCCACCCUUGUGGUAGCACGUUUUUUUCUCAAGUUAAGAUACAUGUUCCAAUUAACACAAUGAUCCUAUCAUGAACAAUAAUUAAGACAACAGUAUAAUCGAAACACGAUCAUAAUGUAAUAUUAAUCCCAAAACCAGAUAGAGCAAUAGCAUAACUACCCAAAAGUUCAGUGGUAAACAAGGUGUGGGAUAAACAAGUCUAGGGAAACCUAUUAGGUUCCAUCAGAUUAACCUGAGCAUGUCAUAGUGAUUAACAGUAACAUUAUUGGGUAAAGAACAGUGAUCAAGGGCACAACUUGCCUGAGACUUAAGAUUCUAGGUACCAGGAUGAUCUUCUGAUUCUCGUGACCUCACUGCUAAUCGUAGCAAUACAAACAAACAUGGUAUAAGCAAAAUUAACAUCACACCAAACAUAAGAAUAAACUGCAUAAUAAUGACCUGCGUGUCGUAACGAGAACCUAGGUUCGAGAACCACUAAAUUCGGAGUUACGAUUUAAGAGGUAUAGUAUUCGGAAGACCUACAUGAUUAAGUAAUUAAACUAGGUCUUGUUUUGAUUUCAUAAAUAUAAUUUAAAGAAAUAAUUAAUUCAACUUUAAUCUUAAUUAUAACUUGACUAGAGAUCAUAUUUUAGUCAAAUUAUAAUUAUGGACAGGUUAGCUUUGUUUUAGAAGAGUUAAUCUAGUAGACAUGGGAUAAGUAAGUAUCUAACUAUAAAACUAUGCGACAAGGUAUAAUUAAUGUUGUUACUGCAUAGUAAAUAUUUAUACGAAGCUAACGCAACUGGAACAGACCAAAACAGAGUUAAAAUAAGGAAGAUGUGAUUUUUCCAAGGUUUUUAGAGUUAUCUUCAAAUUAAAAAUCAAUUUCUCUGGUUAUUUUAUUAGUUCACUAGACAUCUGGACCGCGCACAACAAUACCCUAAAGAUCAGGGGCUAACAUGAUAAAAACAUGGCUUAGUUGUAAUGGUUCUAGAGUUGUAUGGGAUCGCUGGUUAUUUUCUAUAAAGCAUGGGGACUCGUUUGCAUAUUACCGAGACCGAAGAAGUAUCGUAGGAGAUGAGCCGUAAGAUCACAAGCCCACCGCCAGGAUUAGAUCGGAUCCUAGACAACUAGAACGUGCACCCCACCGUCGGAUUCGAUCCCAAUGGUGUGGGUUAGAUCUGGCUUUAACCCAGGUGGUACGCGCCCAGAGCCGUGGAUCCAACAAUCGGUGGCCUGUAUUCUAUAUGGACGAAAGGGUAUGCCUGAUUAAAUCAUGGCCACCCAACUGUGAAUCGACGGUUCUGAUAUAUUAGGCUGAAGGGGUACAUGCGAUUUAAUCACAGCCGUUCAAACGGAAUUAGACGAUCGCGAGUUCGUCUUCCCCACAGCCACCCUAGCCGAGCUAAGCACGGCGGAGCCGCCGGGGAUCAUGGCGGAUUCACGCCGUCGAAGGUGAUUCUCCACUCUAGUAUGAUGCUUCCUACCUAGCCCGGAGCUACAUGAUACGUGGAUGAAAGCGAGUCGGUCUAGAGGGUUCUCACCGUGUUUCUGCCAUGCAAACACCCGCCCAUGGCGAAGGACAGCAGCGUGGCGGCGCCGACCAACGGUGAGUAAAUCCUCGGUCCUUGCUUGCUCCCAUGGAUCCACAGAACCACGAACACAAUCCUCGGAUCACGACGAAUCUUCCUAGCCUUCAUCCGAGUCACUGGCGACGGUGUAGCGAUCGGUCAUUGGCGGUGACUGGGAUUUCUCCCUCCCCAUUAGCAGCGACGGUGGUUAGAACCGCACAAUUUUUGAGCAGGCGAUGCCAAUGGGGGAGGAGAAGGGAGUGAGGGACGCUGGCGCAGGGUUUUAUAUCUCGGA